Long non-coding RNA from Manis pentadactyla (Chinese pangolin), 1187 nucleotides. RefSeq lists it as uncharacterized. The record is from RefSeq and is a predicted model, not a curated record. NCBI's taxonomy places the organism in Eukaryota, Metazoa, Chordata, Mammalia, Pholidota, Manidae. The transcript has 3 exons.
GCCACUCGGCUGGGGACCUGAUCUGCACAAAUGUGUAGCCAAACCAUGUGGGCUCCCAGGACAGUCCAUUCUUCUAAGCAAAUCUGACUUUGGGCAAGAAAAUCUCACACCAGGCUCCCUGCCCUUUGCCCAGGGUGAGGUGGACAGGCACCUCGUCCAAUCUAGGUUUUUCCCAAGGCCUUCCAUGCUCCCAUGCCAACUGUUUGCUAAGUGUUCUCCAGUCUCUACAACAGAGGGCCAAGGGUUCCCCAGUUUGGUACCUGGUGACACACAUGUGCACUAACCCACAGGGGUGGGACCUGGGUGACCUCAGGAGGCUGCUCCCUUUCCCGUGAAAAGAGGAGUGACAGGCCUGGGACAGUGGCUGGCUGGGCCGAAGACCCCUGAGGGAUUCUAUCUGAAGAAAGGGACACAGUUGAGCCAGCUAGGAUUUCCCCACAUGUGGGGGUCGGAGUGCUCCCUCACCAGGCCUGGCCGCAGCUCUGUGGUCUGUGGUGCCUCCAGGGGACCCUGACGCUACUUUCCUGAUGACGUGGCUGCUGAGAGCCAGAGCAAGAGUUUAAAAAGGAAGCCAGUUCUAAAUGAUCGUAAUGGUCCAACAGCCCCUGUCCCCUUCCCAAGCUGGAGUCCUGAGAACCAGGCCUUAGGCCCAGUGGACCAGCAACAGGCCAGCAAAAGGUGAAGGACAUGGUGCCCUUGUCUGAUGCCUCAGGACAGCCCUCAGCAGGCUGUGAGUGGGUACUUGACACACAGGGAGCCUUCACCCAGGAAAAUCAAUGCAUGCAGCACAAGACGGCAGGGCGUAAACAUUCCAGAGAGAGGUGCUGGCAAAAGCACUCCCCAGUUGGAACCAGGGGAGAGUGGCAAUUGGAGAAGGCAGAACAGGCCACCAGCAAGCCGCCCAUUAGCUUAACCAGAGCUGGUGGCCUCGGCUGACCUGCAUCAGCAAUGCCUUCGAGACCCCCAAGGCCACUUACACAGACAGCUGCUUGGCUGGCCUCUGGGCAAAGGCCCAUCAGGCUUUAGUGCCCAGACUUGCAGAGCAGCAUCUCCCCAACAGUCCCACCCGGCUGGGUCGGGCAGAAGGUCCCCUCAGAUUGAUAUGUCAGUUACAUAUUGUAGCAUUAAUUACACUACACUCCUCUUUCAGUUACAGCCUGCACCAGGAUCUACUACAAUUGCUUCCU